Molecule: ribosomal RNA, 797 nt
Filed under: Cantharellus cyanescens
Lineage: Eukaryota; Fungi; Basidiomycota; Agaricomycetes; Cantharellales; Hydnaceae
Description: LSU rRNA
Rfam family: Eukaryotic large subunit ribosomal RNA
Source: RNAcentral
UGUAGAUGAGACGAGUAGGUNAUCUGGACUGCAUGGCACUCAAGUACGAUACUACCCGUCAGUGGGACAUCAUAGAGGGUGACAAUCCCGUCUUUGGUGCUGAUGUUCGAGUCCUUUACGAUGCCUAUCUCAGGAGAGUCGAGUAGUUUGGGAUUUGCUGCUUGAACAUGGGAGGUAGACACCUUCUAAAGCUAAAUAUUGGCAAGAGACCGAUAGUGGACAAGUACCGCAAGGGAAAGAUGAAAUAGCACUCUGUAAAGGGAGUCAAAAGGCGUGAAAUUGUUGCGAGAGAAGCGAUUCAAGUCAGCUUGACUAGGCCCAUGAUGACAUCCGUCCUCUGGACUAGUCUCGCCAGCGGUCUCAUCUUAUUACGGUUUGACUAAGGUGCGGUACAUCCUCAACGCACGGCUGGUGGAAUGGCUUGCAAUCGACCCGUCUUGAAACACGGACCAAGGAGUCUAACAUGCAUGCAAGUAUAAGGGUGACAAACCCGUAUGCGCAAUGAAAGUGACUUUCAGUGAUUGUUGUGUGGCUUGACGACCAGACAGGAAAUAUCAUGUCCCUCGGAUGGCCACUGCCCAAGUUCUGUGGUACGAACCCAUGAACAUGGAGACGGAGCAUGCAUGCUAGGACCCGAAAGAUGGUGAACUAUGCCUGGACAGAGCGAAGCCAAAGGAAACUCUGGUGGAGGCUCGUAGCGAUUCUGACGUGCAAAUCGAUCGUCUGAUCUGGGUAUAGGGGCGAAAGACUAAUCGAACCAUCUCAUAGCUGGUUCCUGCCGAAGUCCCCCNCCAGGA